Phrynosoma platyrhinos (Desert horned lizard) is the source of this 72-nucleotide non-coding RNA. The record is from the annotation of a GenBank genome assembly. Lineage: Eukaryota; Metazoa; Chordata; Lepidosauria; Squamata; Phrynosomatidae.
GCCAGCGUGGCGUAGGGGUUUGAGUGUUGGACUAAGAUUCUGGAGACCAGGGUUUGAUUCCCAGCUUGGGCA